RNAcentral lists this ribosomal RNA (392 nucleotides) under Bacillariophyta sp. RNAcentral's name for it is "partial small subunit ribosomal RNA". It matches the Rfam family "Eukaryotic small subunit ribosomal RNA", at positions 582 to 975 of the family's 1831-position model. The record is from RNAcentral. Lineage: Eukaryota; Bacillariophyta.
AUUCCAGCUCCAAUAGCGUAUAUUAAAGUUGUUGCAGUUAAAAAGCUCGUAGUUGGAUUUCUGGUGGGAGCGGUCGGUGCGGUCCUCAGGAUUGCUACUCGUACCGUCUCUCGCCAUCCUUGGGUCGAUCCUGUCUGGCAUUAAGUUGUCGGGCAGGGGAUGCCCAUCGUUUACUGUGAAAAAAUUAGAGUGUUCAAAGCAGGCUUAUGCCGUUGAAUAUAUUAGCAUGGAAUAAUAAGAUAGGACUUUGGUACUAUUUUGUUGGUUUGCGCACCAAAGUAAUGAUUAAUAGGGAUAGUUGGGGGCAUUAGUACUUUGCUGUCAGAGGUGAAAUUCUCGGAUUUGCAAAAGACUAACUUAUGCGAAAGCAUUUGCCAAGGAUGUUUUCAUCA